This 253-nucleotide ribosomal RNA is filed under the name uncultured bacterium. RNAcentral's name for it is "partial 16S ribosomal RNA". It matches the Rfam family "Bacterial small subunit ribosomal RNA", at positions 527 to 779 of the family's 1533-position model. The record is from RNAcentral.
CGGAGGGGCUAGCGUUGUUCGGAAUUACUGGGCGUAAAGAGUGCGUAGGCGGUUUAGUAAGUUGGAAGUGAAAGCCCGAGGCUUAACCUCGGAAUUGCUUUCAAAACUACUAAUCUAGAGUGUAGUAGGGGAUGAUGGAAUUCCUAGUGUAGAGGUGAAAUUCUUAGAUAUUAGGAGGAACACCGGUGGCGAAGGCGGUCAUCUGGGCUACAACUGACGCUGAUGCACGAAAGCGUGGGGAGCAAACAGGAUU